UACGUAGGGGGCGAGCGUUAUCCGGAAUUACUGGGCGUAAAGCGUGCGCAGGCGGUCUGCUAAGAGAGAUGUGAAAUCCCCGGGCUUAACCUGGGAACUGCGUUUCUAACUGGCAGGCUUGAGUGUGGCAGAGGGGGGUGGAAUUCCACGUGUAGCAGUGAAAUGCGUAGAGAUGUGGAGGAACACCGAUGGCGAAGGCAGCCCCCUGGGCUAACACUGACGCUCAUGCACGAAAGCGUGGGGAGCAAACAGG
Molecule: ribosomal RNA, 253 nt
Filed under: uncultured bacterium
Lineage: Bacteria
Description: partial 16S ribosomal RNA
Rfam family: Bacterial small subunit ribosomal RNA
Source: RNAcentral